UACGUAGGGUCCGAGCGUUGUCCGGAAUUACUGGGCGUAAAGAGCUCGUAGGUGGUUUGUCGCGUUGUUCGUGAAAACUCACAGCUCAACUGUGGGCGUGCGGGCGAUACGGGCAGACUAGAGUACUGCAGGGGAGACUGGAAUUCCUGGUGUAGCGGUGAAAUGCGCAGAUAUCAGGAGGAACACCGAUGGCGAAGGCAGGUCUCUGGGCCGAUACUGACGCUGAGGAGCGAAAGCGUGGGGAGCGAACAGG
This 253-nucleotide ribosomal RNA is filed under the name uncultured bacterium. RNAcentral describes it as "partial 16S ribosomal RNA". It matches the Rfam family "Bacterial small subunit ribosomal RNA", at positions 524 to 776 of the family's 1533-position model. The record is from RNAcentral.